GGGCCCGCACAAGCGGUGGAGCAUGUGGUUUAAUUCGACGCAACGCGCAGAACCUUACCAGCCCUUGACAUGUCCAGGACCGGUCGCAGAGAUGUGACCUUCUCUUCGGAGCCUGGAGCACAGGUGCUGCAUGGCUGUCGUCAGCUCGUGUCGUGAGAUGUUGGGUUAAGUCCCGCAACGAGCGCAACCCCCGUCCUUAGUUGCUACCAUUUAGUUGAGCACUCUAAGGAGACUGCCGGUGAUAAGCCGCGAGGAAGGUGGGGAUGACGUCAAGUCCUCAUGGCCCUUACGGGCUGGGCUACACACGUGCUACAAUGGCGGUGACAAUGGGAUGCAAAGGGGUGACCCUUAGCAAAUCUCAAAAAGCCGUCUCAGUUCGGAUUGGGCUCUGCAACUCGAGCCCAUGAAGUUGGAAUCGCUAGUAAUCGUGGAUCAGCAUGCCACGGUGAAUACGUUCCCGGGCCUUGUACACACCGCCCGUCACACCAUGGGAGUUGGUUUUACCUGAAGACGGUGCGCUAACCCGCAAGGGAGGCAGCCGGCCACGGUAGGGUCAGCGACUGGGGUGAAGUCGUAACAAGGUAGCCGUAGGGGAACCUGCGGCU
This 605-nucleotide ribosomal RNA is filed under the name uncultured Bradyrhizobiaceae bacterium. Its description in RNAcentral is "bacterial SSU rRNA". It matches the Rfam family "Bacterial small subunit ribosomal RNA", at positions 917 to 1519 of the family's 1533-position model. The record is from RNAcentral. Lineage: Bacteria; Pseudomonadati; Pseudomonadota; Alphaproteobacteria; Hyphomicrobiales; Nitrobacteraceae.